UAAGCAUAUCAAUAAGCGGAGGAAAAGAAACUAACAAGGAUUCCCCUAGUAACUGCGAGUGAAGCGGGAAAAGCUCAAAUUUAAAAUCCUUCGGGAGUUGUAAUCUAGAGAAGUGUUUUCGGCCGUUGUCUCGAACAAGUUCCUUGGAACAGGACGUCAUAGAGGGUGAGAAUCCCGUACUUGUCGAACCAGCAACGUCUAUGUGAUGCACUUUCAAAGAGUCGAGUUGUUUGGGAAUGCAGCUCAAAACGGGUGGUAAACUCCAUCUAAAGCUAAAUAUUGGCGAGAGACCGAUAGCGAACAAGUACCGUGAGGGAAAGAUGAAAAGCACUUUGGAAAGAGAGUUAAACAGUACGUGAAAUUGCUAAAAGGGAAACGCUUGAAGUCAGUCGCGUCAUGGAGACUCAGCCUCACGGUGCAUUUCUCCAGGACGGGCCAGCAUCAGUUUUGGCCGCGGGAAAAGAGCUUGAGGAAUGUGGCAGCCUCGGCUGUGUUAUAGCCUCUUGUUGUACACCGCGGUUGGGACUGAGGACUUAUAGGAUGCUGGCGUAAUGGCUUUAAGCGACCCGUCUUGAAACACGGACCAAGGAGUCUAACAUGUCUGCGAGUGUUUGGGUGUCAAACCCAUACGCGCAAUGAAAGUAAACGUAGGUCGGAGGCUUUGGCCGCACGAUCGACCGAUCCGGAUCUUUAGUGAUGGAUUUGAGUAAGAGCAUAUAUGUUGGGACCCGAAAGAUGGUGAACUAUGCCUGAAUAGGGCGAAGCCAGAGGAAACUCUGGUGGAGGCUCGUAGCGAUUCUGACGUGCAAAUCGAUCGUCAAAUUUGGGUAUAGGGGCGAAAGACUAAUCGAACCAUCUAGUA
This 862-nucleotide ribosomal RNA is filed under the name Dacrymycetes sp. RNAcentral describes it as "partial 28S ribosomal RNA". It matches the Rfam family "Eukaryotic large subunit ribosomal RNA", at positions 35 to 949 of the family's 3401-position model. The record is from RNAcentral. Lineage: Eukaryota; Fungi; Basidiomycota; Dacrymycetes.